UAAGGAAUAUUGCACAAUGGGCGAAAGCCUGAUGCAGCAACGCCGCGUGGGUGAUGAAGGCCUUCGGGUCGUAAAACCCUUUUCUGGGGGAAGAGCAAGGACGGUACCCCAGGAAUAAGCACCGGCUAACUACGUGCCAGCAGCCGCGGUAACACGUAGGGUGCAAGCGUUAUCCGGAUUUACUGGGCGUAAAGCGCGCGCAGGCGGCAUCGUAAGUUGGACGUGAAAUCUUUCGGCUUAACCGGGAGGCGCCGUUCAAGACUACGUUGCUCGAGGGCAGAAGGGGGGAGUGGAAUUCCCGGUGUAGUGGUAAAAUGCGUAGAUAUCGGGAGGAACACCAGUGGCGAAGGCGACUCCCUGGUCUGCACCUGACGCUGAGGCGCGAAAGCGUGGGGAGCGAACGGGAUUAGAUACCCCGGUAGUCCACGCCGUAAACUAUGGGUACUGGGUGUGGGGAGUAUUGUAUCUCUCUGUGCCGAAGCUAACGCGUUAAGUACCCCGCCUGGGGACUACGGCCGCAAGGUUA
Molecule: ribosomal RNA, 526 nt
Filed under: uncultured bacterium
Lineage: Bacteria
Description: bacterial SSU rRNA
Rfam family: Bacterial small subunit ribosomal RNA
Source: RNAcentral